AACACAUGCAAGUCGAGGGGCAGCAUGAAGUUUGCUUGCAAACUUGAUGGCGACCGGCGCACGGGUGAGUAACGCGUAUCCAACUCCCUUAGUAGCGGAUAGCCGGCGAAAGUCGGAUUAAUACGCUAUGUUCUUCGUAGAGGACAUCUGAAAUGAAGCAAAGGUUUACCGCUAAGGGAUGGGGAUGCGUCUGAUUAGGCAGUAGGCGGGGUAACGGCCCACCUAGCCGACGAUCAGUAGGGGUUCUGAGAGGAAGGUCCCCCACAUUGGAACUGAGACACGGUCCAAACUCCUACGGGAGGCAGCAGUGAGGAAUAUUGGUCAAUGGGCGCGAGCCUGAACCAGCCAAGUAGCGUGCCAGGAUGACGGCCCUAUGGGUUGUAAACUGCUUUUAUACAGGGAUAAAGUGCGCCACGUGUGGUGUUUUGUAGGUACUGUAUGAAUAAGGACCGGCUAAUUCCGUGCCAGCAGCCGC
RNAcentral lists this ribosomal RNA (475 nucleotides) under uncultured bacterium. RNAcentral describes it as "bacterial SSU rRNA". It matches the Rfam family "Bacterial small subunit ribosomal RNA", at positions 50 to 518 of the family's 1533-position model. The record is from RNAcentral.